UACGGAGGAUGCGAGCGUUAUCCGGAUUUAUUGGGUUUAAAGGGUGCGUAGGCGGGCUUUUAAGUCAGCGGUAAAAAUUCAGGGCUCAACCCCGUCCGGCCGUUGAAACUGGGGGCCUUGAGUGGGCGAGAAGAAGGCGGAAUGCGUGGUGUAGCGGUGAAAUGCAUAGAUAUCACGCAAAACCCCGAUUGCGAAGGCAGCCUUCCGGCGCCCUACUGACGCUGAGGCACGAAAGUGCGGGGAUCGAACAGG
RNAcentral lists this ribosomal RNA (252 nucleotides) under uncultured bacterium. RNAcentral describes it as "partial 16S ribosomal RNA". It matches the Rfam family "Bacterial small subunit ribosomal RNA", at positions 524 to 776 of the family's 1533-position model. The record is from RNAcentral.